RNAcentral lists this ribosomal RNA (253 nucleotides) under uncultured bacterium. Its description in RNAcentral is "partial 16S ribosomal RNA". It matches the Rfam family "Bacterial small subunit ribosomal RNA", at positions 524 to 776 of the family's 1533-position model. The record is from RNAcentral.
UACGUAGGGGGCAAGCGUUGUCCGGAUUUACUGGGCGUAAAGCGCGCGUAGGCGGGAGUUUAAGUGUGGCCUCAAAGCCCCCGGCUCAACCGGGGAAGUGGGCUGCAAACUGGACUUCUUGAGGGCGAUAGAGGAGCGUGGAAUUCCUGGUGUAGCGGUGAAAUGCGUAGAUAUCAGGAGGAACACCCAAGGCGAAGGCAGCGCUCUGGGUCGGCCCUGACGCUGAGGCGCGAAAGCGUGGGGAGCGAACGGG